This is a non-coding RNA of Myodes glareolus (Bank vole), 458 nucleotides long. Lineage: Eukaryota; Metazoa; Chordata; Mammalia; Rodentia; Cricetidae. The record is from RefSeq and is a predicted model, not a curated record.
AUGGGGCGUUGCAGCUCUCUGGCUACGGCGCCUUGCGGCUGGACCUCGCAGGGUGACAUAAUUGGCCGUUUGGUUGCACAAGCGCCUUUCUUUCUUCCACCUUCCUAUUCUUGACAAAGCCCUUCAACCACAAACACGCCCCAACUCCAAGUGAGGUGGCUGUCCUGCCUGACUUCAGAAGGAAAUUGCCACCUGGGCUCAGGCGGCUGAGAUUCCAAUUCCAGUUGUUUCCCAAGGGUUCAAAGAUCUUAAGUGACCGCCACUGAAAGCAAAUUGAAUUCAAAAGCUAAGAGGAAGCCAACGUAGCUGGAGACUCCAGUGUGAGAUCUUGGGUCACCGUCAUUUGGUCUUGUUGGAGUGGGCCUGUGUUAAAGGCAAAGCAUCAUAUUGGAAAGGAGUCUGUGGAGCAUGGAUGACUGCCUCAUGAUGGUCAGGAAGCAGAAAGGAAGAGGAACCGG